AAAUAAUGGGUCCUUUGUGAUAUAUGCAUAUACAUUCCUCUUCACUUUUCUUGGAGUUAAGAAUGAGGCUUCAGACAAGUGGACAGAGUAUCUACAACAAUAUCUAUGACAUGGUAUACAGUGGGGUCACAAAAGUGAAUCAGAUACAUGGUCUGCCUUCAAGGAGCUCACUAUUGAUAAAACAAGGAUAGACAGGAAUACAGGUAGCAAUAUGACCAGCUAAAGGACACCUUUUUAUAGCCCCCACUGCAACUAGACAUGGAAUUCAGAAAGCCUCCUUAAGAGACGGAUAGCCAGCUUGCAGGAUCUUCUUUUAGCUUCUCUCCUUUGUCUUGCUUCUUACCUGGAGCUCAAACAUAGUAGCUGGAGCUUCAGCAGCCAUAUUGGAUCCUGAGAAAAGCCUGAAAAUAGAAGCCAUGGCUACAAAAGACAAAGUAGGAAUAUAGGAAUAGGCUGGGUCUCUGAUGAUGUUGGCACCACCCUAUGAAAUCAAGACCACCCAUACCCAAAGUUCUUUUACCUGAGAGAAAAGCAGUUAAAGAUCCUGUGUUUCGGCUCUUGUUUGUUAGUAGCUUCCAAAUGUAAAUCCCAACUGAUACAAUUAUUAAUUGUGAAUAUAA
This is a long non-coding RNA of Manis pentadactyla (Chinese pangolin), 620 nucleotides long. RefSeq lists it as uncharacterized. NCBI's taxonomy places the organism in Eukaryota, Metazoa, Chordata, Mammalia, Pholidota, Manidae. The transcript has 3 exons. The record is from RefSeq and is a predicted model, not a curated record.